Molecule: long non-coding RNA, 479 nt
Organism: Nyctereutes procyonoides (raccoon dog)
Lineage: Eukaryota; Metazoa; Chordata; Mammalia; Carnivora; Canidae
Exons: 3
Source: RefSeq, a predicted model, not a curated record
UGGGAAAACUCUCGCAAGAGGCUUAGCAGCUGCAGAAGCCAAAGCCCACGGUCUAGCUGUUUGCGUGCUGAGGGUCAGCAGCAAGGGAAGCGGGGCUGCAGUGGCUCCCCAGGUCUCGCACCGGCACAAGAGAAGAGUGUUCGAGCCCACCCACUUCUCCGGAGGCCAAAUAUGCUGCUCCUCUGGUACCCUCCCUCCUAGACAGGAGCUGCCCAGAGCGGGGAAGAUUCUUGGCAUCUACUGUGUUGUCCUAGGCUCCUGGGACUUGUGACACGCUACCCCUCUGCCUGGUGUGACACACUUCCUCACCCCUUCAGCCUGGCAUAGAGGACUGAGCAAUCAAAAUGGACAUAAUCGGGGAUCCCUGGCUGGCGCAGCGGUUUGGCGCCUGCCUUUGGCCCAGGGCACGAUCCUGGAGACCCGGGAUCGAAUCCCACGUCGGGCUCCCGGUGCAUGGAGCCUGCUUCUCCCUCUGCCUG